This is a long non-coding RNA of Chiroxiphia lanceolata (lance-tailed manakin), 839 nucleotides long. RefSeq lists it as uncharacterized. The transcript has 5 exons. Lineage: Eukaryota; Metazoa; Chordata; Aves; Passeriformes; Pipridae. The record is from RefSeq and is a predicted model, not a curated record.
CAUGAAGAACUUCUUUAUUGUGAGACUGAUUGAGCAUUGAAACAGAUUUCCCAGAGAUUGUGGGAAUAUCUCCUUCCCUGGAGAUAUUCAGAAGCCAUCUGGACACACUCCUGAGUAACAUGCUCUAGGGGACCCUGCUUGAACAGAGAGGUUGGACUAGAUGACCUCCAGUGGUCCCUUCCCACCUGAACCAUACUGUGACUCUGUGAUUCCAAACCCACAGUCUCAAGCUCUGCUGGCUCAAGGCUAAGUACUGCCUCAGAGCAGGAAGGUGGAGUGUCACCUUGUUCCAGUCUUGUCUCAUGAUUUCCUUGCAAAAUACAGUUCUUUUGCAGUUGUGUAGCUCCAGAUAGCCCCAGGUCUUCUGUCACACAUUACAAGGUAUAUUGCAACCUGUAACAAAAAGACAACUACUUAAUACACAGGAUUUCCUUUCCAUGAUUGAUAGGCUACCAGAUCUCCAUUUUGUGUUUGAAGGAGUUGCAGCAUAUCUAAUAGAGGAUUUUCCACACUUUUGAAAAGAACUGGAGCCAUUUGUGAACCACACUGAAUAACCUGUGGCACGAAGUCGAUAGCAGAGCUUUUAUCUGGUGAGAGACGCAUAAACAGGACUUCAGCUGUCUGUGAUCCAAGACACAGUUGUGUCACCAUCUCUCAGACUUGUGAGGAAAUUGCUAAAUUCUGAGCAAGAACUACAAAGAAAUUGAUAAAGGAGACUUCUGCAAGAUGGGUUGUGUUUUCCUGGAUUAGACUUAGAAGAUUGGAAAAGAAGCAAAAGAGUAAAACAAUCCUUUGGUGUUAUUUGGUUUCUUUCUCACUGUGUAUGCAAGAAUGGACUC